AUGCCGCACCCGGACGAGCGCGUGGAGUACGAGCUCUGGACCAACAGCAACGACGAGUGCGGCCCCCUGUGCGAUGAGCAGGCGGCCUUCGUCCGGAGCUUCCGGGGGCACGCCCAGAUCCUGGAGCGCGGCGGCUACGCCCGGUUCACGCCGCACUACAUCACCUGGUACUGCCCCGAGGCGUUCCGGCUCACGCGGCAGUGCCAGUCGCAGUGCAUCAACCACGGCCGGUACGUAGUACAUGCACACACACGCCAUUGCCGGUCUAGGAAGCUUUCUCUGGUCAAGAGUUUGAAACGAUGUUGUUGGUUGUGCAGGUACUGCGCGCCGGACCCGGAGGAGGACUUCGGGGAGGGGUACGAGGGGAAGCAGGUGGUGGUGGAGAACCUGCGGCAGCUGUGCGUGCACCGGGUGGCGAACGAGAGCGGGCGGCCGUGGGCGUGGUGGGACUUCGCCAUGGACUACAAGCUGCGGUGCUCCAUGAAGGAGAAGAAGUACAGCAAGGCGUGCGCGGAGGAGGUGGUGGCGUCGCUGGGGCUGUCGCUGGAGAAGGUGCUGGCGUGCAUGGGCGACCCCGACGCCGACGCCGACAACGCCGUGCUGUCCAAGGAGCAGGAGGACCAGAUCGGGCGCGGGUCAAGGGGGGACGUCACCAUCCUGCCCACGCUCGUCAUCAACGACGUCCAGUACAGAGGGAAGCUGGAGAGGACGGCGGUGCUCAGGGCCGUAUGCGCCGGCUUCAAGGAGGGGACGGAGCCGCAAGUCUGCCUCAGCCAUGACCGGAACGGCGGGUGCUGGCGGGACGAGGCGACCAAUGUGCGAGCGGGUGCGGUCCGACCAGACAGAUCCGGUGGAACUUCGGCCUCGUCGACCACAUAUAUAUACGAACAGCUUCGACGGUGA
RNAcentral lists this ribosomal RNA (903 nucleotides) under Triticum aestivum (bread wheat). RNAcentral describes it as "partial small subunit ribosomal RNA". Lineage: Eukaryota; Viridiplantae; Streptophyta; Magnoliopsida; Poales; Poaceae. The record is from RNAcentral.